RNAcentral lists this ribosomal RNA (253 nucleotides) under uncultured bacterium. RNAcentral's name for it is "partial 16S ribosomal RNA". It matches the Rfam family "Bacterial small subunit ribosomal RNA", at positions 524 to 776 of the family's 1533-position model. The record is from RNAcentral.
UACGUAGGCAGCAAGCGUUGUUCGGAGUUACUGGGCGUAAAGAGUGCGUAGGUGGUGCCCUAAGUCUGUUGUGAAAUCUCCCGGCUUAACUGGGAGGGUGCGGUGGAAACUGGGGUGCUUGAGUGUGGGAGAGGUAAGCGGAAUUCCUGGUGUAGCGGUGAAAUGCGUAGAUAUCAGGAGGAACACCGGUGGUGUAAACGGCUUUCUGGACCAUAACUGACGCUGAGGCACGAAAGCGUGGGUAGCAAACAGG